CCCUUAGAGUUUGAUCCUGGCUCAGAUUGAACGCUGGCGGCGUGCCUAACACAUGCAAGUCGAGCGGUAACAGGUGUAGCAAUACAUGCUGACGAGCGGCGGACGGGUGAGUAACGCUUGGGAAUCUGCCUGUUAGUGGGGGACAACCCGGGGAAACUCGGGCUAAUACCGCAUACGCACUACGGUGGAAAGCCGGGGACCGCAAGGCCUGGCGCUAACAGAUGAGCCCAAGUCGGAUUAGCUAGUUGGUAGGGUAACGGCCUACCAAGGCGACGAUCCGUAACUGGUCUGAGAGGACGACCAGUCACACCGGAACUGAGACACGGUCCGGACUCCUACGGGAGGCAGCAGUGGGGAAUAUUGGACAAUGGGCGAAAGCCUGAUCCAGCGACGCCGCGUGGGUGAAGAAGGCCUGCGGGUUGUAAAGCCCUUUCGGUGGGGAAGAAAAGCCUCGAGUUAACACCUCGGGGUCUUGACGUAACCCAUAGAAGAAGCACCGGCUAACUCUGUGCCAGCAGCCGCGGUAAUACAGAGGGUGCGAGCGUUAAUCGGAAUUACUGGGCGUAAAGCGCGCGUAGGCGGCUUUGCAAGUCGGGUGUGAAAUCCCCAGGCUUAACCUGGGAACUGCAUUCGAGACUGCAUUGCUAGAGUAUGGGAGAGGGAAGUGGAAUUUCCGGUGUAGCGGUGAAAUGCGUAGAUAUCGGAAGGAACAUCAGUGGCGAAAGCGACUUCCUGGACCAAUACUGACGCUCAUGUGCGAAAGCGUGGGGAGCAAAC
RNAcentral lists this ribosomal RNA (777 nucleotides) under uncultured bacterium. RNAcentral describes it as "bacterial SSU rRNA". It matches the Rfam family "Bacterial small subunit ribosomal RNA", at positions 1 to 773 of the family's 1533-position model. The record is from RNAcentral.